Long non-coding RNA from Micropterus dolomieu (smallmouth bass), 287 nucleotides. RefSeq lists it as uncharacterized. Lineage: Eukaryota; Metazoa; Chordata; Actinopteri; Centrarchiformes; Centrarchidae. The transcript is spliced from 3 exons. The record is from RefSeq and is a predicted model, not a curated record.
CGGCGAUCAGUUAUGAUAUGCAGCUAAAACUCUGUGAGCCAGGCCCUGGGCUGCCAGCGGAAGACGUGAAGUCAAGCCAAGGAGCCAAGGCCACUGUCAGCUCUCAGUGGUUAGAAUAACCCAGAACAACCUCCUGGGAACCUGGUUGGGAUCGGACCAGCGCUGGAUGGGUGAAUAAGUGAGAGAUCUGUCAUGAGAGGGUGCUGCUUAACACAAAAUGGAGCCUGGUUCAAGAGUCAGAAAGGGAGAGAGAGACAAACAGAGUGGGGGAGAGAACGGGAGAGCGA